Molecule: transfer RNA, 74 nt
Filed under: Camelus bactrianus (Bactrian camel)
Lineage: Eukaryota; Metazoa; Chordata; Mammalia; Artiodactyla; Camelidae
Also listed under: 1 other name
Rfam family: tRNA
About the family: Transfer RNA (tRNA) molecules are approximately 80 nucleotides in length. Their secondary structure includes four short double-helical elements and three loops (D, anti-codon, and T loops). Further hydrogen bonds mediate the characteristic L-shaped molecular structure. tRNAs have two regions of fundamental functional importance: the anti-codon, which is responsible for specific mRNA codon recognition, and the 3' end, to which the tRNAs corresponding amino acid is attached (by aminoacyl-tRNA synthetases). tRNAs cope with the degeneracy of the genetic code in two manners: having more than one tRNA (with a specific anti-codon) for a particular amino acid; and 'wobble' base-pairing, i.e. permitting non-standard base-pairing at the 3rd anti-codon position.
Source: Rfam by way of RNAcentral
GAGGAUAUAGUUCAAUGGUAGAGUAUAUAUGCUUAGCAUGCAUGAGGUCCUGCGUUCAAUUCCUAGUACCUCCA